CGAACAAUGAUCGCCGAACCGCCUUCCGUAACAAGCGGAAGUUUGUUACGCCAGCUGUGUACUCCCUGGCCGCUGCAUUCCUAGCCUAUCCCUCGCGGCUAUAUAGCCUGAGCCCCGAUCCUCAUCCGUCUUGCGUCGCCACGAAUUGAGGAGACGAGCGUACGUCGUGUACACCGUUGCCGAGAGAAUCCAGGAGGGAGGGAGAGAAGACCACGUCGCAGGGAGAAGCGUGCGUCGUCGUUGUCGAGGAGUGCCGCUGCGGACCACUCGCCGUUACUCUAAAUACCAAGCACUGGAUCGCUGGGUGGGCGUUACACCGGCAAGGAGGCCACCGUGGGCUGGAGCGCCGCCGGGCUCGCUCGACGUCGAAGGUUGACGAAUCACGGUGGCCGACCGAUCCGAGCGAACGACACCGAUUGGAGGAGCCGGGUCAUCACCGCGGUUCGCACCUCCAUCGUGGGACGGAACGUCUACGCUGCGAUUGCUGGUGAGACGAGCAAGUGACUGAGGAACCCGAAGCACCGCAGGUUGAAGAUUCUGAGCAGGAGCUCGCAGAAGGCAAGUUGUGUCCUUGAUCACGUUCUUACCUAAUAAUAUUUAUGAUUCUGUUCUCACUGCUGCACUGUAGGGUUAAAUUGAUGGGACCUAAUAGGUUACCUAGUUUUGUUUACCCCACACCUUGCAUACAAAUGAAUUAUUGGGUAGUCUUGCUAUGCUCUAUCUGGUUUUGGGUGUUAAACUAUAUGUGAAUCAUGUUCAUGACUUAUUAUCACUGUUAACUGUUUAUGAAUUAUUUGUGGUACAUGAUAAGAUCAUCUUGUUAAUUGGAACAUAGAGCUUAACCUGAGAAAACAGUGCUACCACAAGGGUUUAAUGGUACGCCCUUGGCCAAUUAAUUAGGAAAAGUAGGGAGAGAUUACCUUACCCGAAAGGGGCAAGCGGGGAGGAGUUGCCGCAAGUAUAGGGAGGUUCUCGGGUCGAACUAUCUGUGAUAGCUUUUCGGACGAGGGAUUCCUAUACCCCCCCUCUGCCUGAAACCGUAGCGGGUUUUCUCAAACUAGUGGAACUUUGGAAAGGCCUCGUAGUGCUACCCUUCCUUGUCUCCUCGGUAGAGAUGAAUGGGAUUUCUAGACCCCUUGGCAAAUGGGUAACAUGGCUUGUGGGUAAAGAUGCACAACCUCUGCAGAGUGUAAAACUGGUAUAUCAGCCGUGCUCACGGUCAAGAGCGGCUCAGGACUCUCGCAUGAUUUAUUUAUGGAAUUAAACUUAACCUGUCAUGCAUCGCAUUGUGGGAUUUUAUUAUUCAUUAUGAUCAAAUAUUUAAUUGGGUUGGUAUAUACUUAUACUUAGUAAUUGCUAAUAAAAUUUGACCAACAAAAUUAAAGGCAAUGCUCACCCAUAACCAUAUUCUUUGAUAAGCCUUACACUACACAUUACCCACACUUGCUGAGCGAUGACCGUAUGGGAGCUCACCCUUGCUAUAAUCACACCAGGUGAAGAGCAGGUACCACCAGAGGAGGAUUACUACGACGAGUUCGAUGAGAUCUAGGCGUCGUCUCCCAGUCAACUAUGGCGUUGUGGAGAUAGUUAUUUUGGUUCGAUCUAUUUUAUUAUCAGUUAUUUUGUAAGACAUUAUCGUUAUAUAAUAAAAGUUAUGACAUUCGUCUCUAUA
Zea mays is the source of this 1672-nucleotide long non-coding RNA. RefSeq lists it as uncharacterized. The record is from RefSeq and is a predicted model, not a curated record. Lineage: Eukaryota; Viridiplantae; Streptophyta; Magnoliopsida; Poales; Poaceae. The transcript has 2 exons.